RNAcentral lists this ribosomal RNA (723 nucleotides) under uncultured bacterium. RNAcentral's name for it is "bacterial SSU rRNA". It matches the Rfam family "Bacterial small subunit ribosomal RNA", at positions 796 to 1518 of the family's 1533-position model. The record is from RNAcentral.
CACGCUGUAAACGAUGUCGAUUUGAAGGUUGUUCCCUAGAGGAGUGGCUUUCGGAGCUAACGCGUUAAAUCGACCGCCUGGGGAGUACGGCCGCAAGGUUAAAACUCAAAUGAAUUGACGGGGGCCCGCACAAGCGGUGGAGCAUGUGGUUUAAUUCGAUGCAACGCGAAGAACCUUACCUACUCUUGACAUCCAGAGAAUUUAGCAGAGAUGCUUUAGUGCCUUCGGGAACUCUGAGACAGGUGCUGCAUGGCUGUCGUCAGCUCGUGUUGUGAAAUGUUGGGUUAAGUCCCGCAACGAGCGCAACCCUUAUCCUUUGUUGCCAGCGAUUCGGUCGGGAACUCAAAGGAGACUGCCGGUGAUAAACCGGAGGAAGGUGGGGAUGACGUCAAGUCAUCAUGGCCCUUACGAGUAGGGCUACACACGUGCUACAAUGGCGUAUACAAAGAGAAGCGACCUCGCGAGAGCAAGCGGAACUCAUAAAGUACGUCGUAGUCCGGAUUGGAGUCUGCAACUCGACUCCAUGAAGUCGGAAUCGCUAGUAAUCGUAGAUCAGAAUGCUACGGUGAAUACGUUCCCGGGCCUUGUACACACCGCCCGUCACACCAUGGGAGUGGGUUGCAAAAGAAGUAGGUAGCUUAACCUUCGGGAGGACGCUUACCACUUUGUGAUUCAUGACUGGGGUGAAGUCGUAACACAGGUAACCAAGGGCGAAUUCGCGGC